UGGGGAAUAUUGGACAAUGGGCGAAAGCCUGAUCCAGCCAUGCCGCGUGUGUGAAGAAGGUCUUCGGAUUGUAAAGCACUUUAAGUUGGGAGGAAGAGCAUUAACCUAAUACGUUAGUGUUUUGACGUUACCGACAGAAUAAGCACCGGCUAACUCUGUGCCAGCAGCCGCGGUAAUACAGAGGGUGCAAGCGUUAAUCGGAAUUACUGGGCGUAAAGCGCGCGUAGGUGGUUUGUUAAGUUGGAUGUGAAAUCCCCGGGCUCAACCUGGGAACUGCAUUCAAAACUGACUGACUAGAGUAUGGUAGAGGGUGGUGGAAUUUCCUGUGUAGCGGUGAAAUGCGUAGAUAUAGGAAGGAACACCAGUGGCGAAGGCGACCACCUGGACUAAUACUGACACUGAGGUGCGAAAGCGUGGGGAGCAAACA
RNAcentral lists this ribosomal RNA (427 nucleotides) under uncultured bacterium. RNAcentral's name for it is "partial 16S ribosomal RNA". It matches the Rfam family "Bacterial small subunit ribosomal RNA", at positions 355 to 774 of the family's 1533-position model. The record is from RNAcentral.